Molecule: ribosomal RNA, 265 nt
Filed under: uncultured Staphylococcus sp.
Lineage: Bacteria; Bacillati; Bacillota; Bacilli; Caryophanales; Staphylococcaceae
Description: partial 16S ribosomal RNA
Rfam family: Bacterial small subunit ribosomal RNA
Source: RNAcentral
CGCGGACGGGUGAGUAACACGUGGAUAACCUACCUAUAAGACUGGGAUAACUUCGGGAAACCGGAGCUAAUACCGGAUAAUAUAUUGAACCGCAUGGUUCAAUAGUGAAAGACGGUUUUGCUGUCACUUAUAGAUGGAUCCGCGCCGCAUUAGCUAGUUGGUAAGGUAACGGCUUACCAAGGCAACGAUGCGUAGCCGACCUGAGAGGGUGAUCGGCCACACUGGAACUGAUACACGGCCCAAACUCCUACGGGAGGCAGCAGGC